RNAcentral lists this ribosomal RNA (253 nucleotides) under uncultured bacterium. RNAcentral describes it as "partial 16S ribosomal RNA". It matches the Rfam family "Bacterial small subunit ribosomal RNA", at positions 524 to 776 of the family's 1533-position model. The record is from RNAcentral.
UACGGAGGGUGCAAACGUUGCUCGGAAUUAUUGGGCGUAAAGCGCUCGCAGGUGGUCCGUCGCGUCGUGCGUGAAAGCCCCCGGCUCAACUGGGGAGUGUCGUGCGAUACGGGCGGACUGGAGGCCAGUAGGGGGAUGCGGAAUUCCGGGUGUAGUGGUGGAAUGCGUAGAGAUCCGGAGGAACACCAGCGGCGAAGGCGGCAUCCUGGACUGGUCCUGACACUCAUGAGCGAAAGCGUGGGGAGCGAUCCGG